Molecule: ribosomal RNA, 497 nt
Filed under: uncultured bacterium
Lineage: Bacteria
Description: partial 16S ribosomal RNA
Rfam family: Bacterial small subunit ribosomal RNA
Source: RNAcentral
GAUGAACGCUGGCGGCGUGCCUAAUACAUGCAAGUCGAGCGAACGGACGAGAAGCUUGCUUUUCUGAUGUUAGCGGCGGACGGGUGAGUAACACGUGGAUAACCUACCUAUAAGACUGGGAUAACUUCGGGAAACCGGAGCUAAUACCGGAUAAUAUUUUGAACCGCAUGGUUCAAAAGUGAAAGACGGUCUUGCUGUCACUUAUAGAUGGUUCCGCGCUGCAUUAGCUAGUUGGUAAGGUAACGGCUUAUCAAGGCAACGAUGCAUAGCCGACGUGAGGGGGGGAUCGCCGACCCGGGAGGUGAGACAGGGACCAGAGUCUUGCGAGAGGCAGCAGUAGGGAAUCUUCCGCAAUGGGGGGAAGCCUGACGGAGCGGGGCGGCGUGAGAUGUGAAGGUCUUGGGAGCGUAAAGCUCUGUUAUUAGGGAAGAACAUAUGUGUAAGUAAAUGAGCACAGCUUGACGGUACCUAAUCAGAAAGCCACGGCUAACUACGUG